This 497-nucleotide ribosomal RNA is filed under the name uncultured bacterium. RNAcentral's name for it is "partial 16S ribosomal RNA". It matches the Rfam family "Bacterial small subunit ribosomal RNA", at positions 28 to 507 of the family's 1533-position model. The record is from RNAcentral.
GAUGAACGCUGGCGGCGUGCCUAAUACAUGCAAGUCGAGCGAACAGACGAGGAGCUUGCUCCUCUGACGUUAGCGGCGGACGGGUGAGUAACACGUGGAUAACCUACCUAUAAGACUGGGAUAACUUCGGGAAACCGGAGCUAAUACCGGAUAAUAUAUUGAACCGCAUGGUUCAAUAGUGAAAGACGGUUUUGCUGUCUCUUAUAGAUGGAUCCGUGCCGCAUUAGCUAGUUGGUAAGGUAACGGCUUACCAAGGCGACGAUGCGUAGCCGACCUGAGAGGGUGAUCGGCCACACUGGAACUGAGACACGGUCCAGACUCCUACGGGAGGCAGCAGUAGGGAAUCUUCCGCAAUGGGCGAAAGCCUGACGGAGCAACGCCGCGUGAGUGAUGAAGGUCUUCGGAUCGUAAAACUCUGUUAUUAGGGAAGAACAAAUGUGUAAGUAACUAUGCACGUCUUGACGGUACCUAAUCAGAAAGCCACGGCUAACUACGUG